RNAcentral lists this ribosomal RNA (492 nucleotides) under uncultured bacterium. Its description in RNAcentral is "partial 16S ribosomal RNA". It matches the Rfam family "Bacterial small subunit ribosomal RNA", at positions 29 to 507 of the family's 1533-position model. The record is from RNAcentral.
AGUGAACGCUGGCGGUAGGCCUAACACAUGCAAGUCGAACGGCAGCACAGUAAGAGCUUGCUCUUACGGGUGGCGAGUGGCGGACGGGUGAGGAAUACAUCGGAAUCUACUUUUUCGUGGGGGAUAACGUAGGGAAACUUACGCUAAUACCGCAUACGACCUACGGGUGAAAGCAGGGGAUCUUUGGACCUUGCGCGAUUGUAUGAGCCGAUGUCGGAUUAUCUAAUUGGCGGGGUAAAGGCCCACCAUGUCGACGAUCCGUAGCUGGUGUGAGAGGAUGAUCAGCCACACUGGAACUGAGACACGGUCCAGACUCCUACGGGAGGCACCAGUGGGCAAUAUUGGACAAUGGGCGAAAGCCUGAUCCAGCCAUACCGCGUGGGUGAAGAAGGCCUUCGGGUUGUAAAACUCUUUUGUUGGGAAAGAAAAGCAGCAGGUUAAUAUCCCGCUGUUCUGACGGUUCCUAAAGAAUAAGCACCGGCUAACUUCGUG